Molecule: ribosomal RNA, 256 nt
Filed under: uncultured bacterium
Lineage: Bacteria
Description: partial 16S ribosomal RNA
Rfam family: Bacterial small subunit ribosomal RNA
Source: RNAcentral
CGUAGGGUGCAAGCGUUGUCCGGAAUUAUUGGGCGUAAAGAGCUCGUAGGCGGUCUGUCGCGUCGAAUGUGAAAAUCCGGGGCUCAACUCCGGACCUGCAUUCGAUACGGGCAGACUAGAGUUCGGUAGGGGAGACUGGAAUUCCUGGUGUAGCGGUGAAAUGCGCAGAUAUCAGGAGGAACACCGGUGGCGAAGGCGGGUCUCUGGGCCGAUACUGACGCUGAGGAGCGAAAAGCGUGGGGGAGCGAACAGGAUU